Molecule: transfer RNA, 74 nt
Filed under: Abditibacterium sp.
Lineage: Bacteria; Pseudomonadati; Abditibacteriota; Abditibacteriia; Abditibacteriales; Abditibacteriaceae
Also listed under: 2 other names
Description: tRNA-Leu
Rfam family: tRNA
About the family: Transfer RNA (tRNA) molecules are approximately 80 nucleotides in length. Their secondary structure includes four short double-helical elements and three loops (D, anti-codon, and T loops). Further hydrogen bonds mediate the characteristic L-shaped molecular structure. tRNAs have two regions of fundamental functional importance: the anti-codon, which is responsible for specific mRNA codon recognition, and the 3' end, to which the tRNAs corresponding amino acid is attached (by aminoacyl-tRNA synthetases). tRNAs cope with the degeneracy of the genetic code in two manners: having more than one tRNA (with a specific anti-codon) for a particular amino acid; and 'wobble' base-pairing, i.e. permitting non-standard base-pairing at the 3rd anti-codon position.
Source: RNAcentral
GCUCGUGUGGCCCAAUUGGCAGAGGCGCGUGACUUAGGAUCACGAUGUUGGAGGUUCGAGUCCUCUCACGAGCA